Molecule: ribosomal RNA, 643 nt
Filed under: uncultured bacterium
Lineage: Bacteria
Description: bacterial SSU rRNA
Rfam family: Bacterial small subunit ribosomal RNA (bases 1-548)
Source: RNAcentral
CCUACGGGAGGCAGCAGUGGGGAAUAUUGGACAAUGGGCGCAAGCCUGAUCCAGCGAUGCCACGUGUGCGAAGAAGGCCUUAGGGUUGUAAAGCACUUUAGUGAGGGAGGAAGUUAGUCUGGUUAAUACCUGGAUUGAUUGACAGUACCUCAAGAAUAAGCACCGGCAAACUCUGUGCCAGCAGCCGCGGUAAUACAGAGGGUGCAAGCGUUAAUCGGAAUUAUUGGGCGUAAAGGGCUUGUAGGCGGUUAGAUAAGUUAGAUGUGAAAACCCCUGGGCUCAACCUGGGGCUGGCAUUUAAUACUGUUUAAGCUAGAGUAUAGGAGAGGAGAAGGGAAUUUCUGGUGUAGCGGUGAAAUGCGUAGAUAUCAGAAGGAACAUCAGUGGCGAAGGCGCUUCUCUGGCCUAAUACUGACGCUGAGGAGCGAAGGCGUGGGGAUCAAACAGGAUUAGAUACCCUGGUAGUCCACGCGGUAAACGAUGAAUACUAGCCGCGUGGGUACGUAAGACUAAGGUGGCGCGAGCGACGACGAGUAAGUAGUUCCGUCCGUGGUAGGUUACGGCCGGUCCGAACGGUUAAACGUUAACGAAGAGUUAGUAGGACGGCGNGAGAGCGACGACGGACGACGACGGAGGGAGGAGG